Molecule: unclassified non-coding RNA, 250 nt
Filed under: uncultured fungus
Lineage: Eukaryota; Fungi
Description: sequence contains ITS1
Source: RNAcentral
UUUCGCAUUUAUUUUUGCUCAGACGCCACGUAAGAAGAAUUUAAAAGCCUCUGGCGGGCGCUCGCCAGUAAACCGGCGGCGGAGGCCGCGGCCCGCCAAAGCAACGAUGAUAGUUCGCACAGGGUGGAGAUGCUCCGAAGAGACAAACUCGAUAAUGAUCCUUCCGCAGGUUCACUAGAAAGAUAUUAGCACAGGAUCUCCCCAGAAGCUUGACGAGGUAAGAAAAUCGAUCCUACCUACCCUACGAAAA